This 273-nucleotide long non-coding RNA is filed under the name Pogona vitticeps (central bearded dragon). RNAcentral's name for it is "lncRNA (ENSPVIG00000003730.1)". The record is from RNAcentral. Lineage: Eukaryota; Metazoa; Chordata; Lepidosauria; Squamata; Agamidae.
UACUUCUGCAAAUAUUAAAGAUUAAUCCAGCACUCGUGAUCGGAGUGCAAGCCUUUAGCUGACCCACAAAGCCCAAAGGAUUAGUUGGGUUUUUGAAACAGAUGCUGAUAUAAUUACACAGGAAGAAACAUGACUUGCCAGUUUGAAAAGACACCUUCAGAGCACUGGCAAAAAAGAGGACCUUUAGACUUCAAGAGGAGUGUGCGUACCUCUGAUGGUGUCUUUAAUAGUUGAUUGACCCCAAGUUACAGCAGUAUGAAAUAGAAAGAAAAA